UCCCUAGUGGCUCAGUGGUAGAGAACCUGCCUGCAAUGCAGGAGACCUGGGUUCAAUCCCUGGGUUGGGAA
This 71-nucleotide transfer RNA is filed under the name Bos taurus (domestic cattle). It matches the Rfam family "tRNA". Rfam says of the family: Transfer RNA (tRNA) molecules are approximately 80 nucleotides in length. Their secondary structure includes four short double-helical elements and three loops (D, anti-codon, and T loops). The record is from Rfam by way of RNAcentral. RNAcentral also lists the same sequence under 4 other names. Lineage: Eukaryota; Metazoa; Chordata; Mammalia; Artiodactyla; Bovidae.